CACAUGUUCAUCUCACCUACAGUAAACUGGUUAAAUGACUCUAGAGGGAGUUCACUGAGAUGUUUCUGAGCUGAUGGAAAGUUCUUUACAAAACAACCUGAGUGUUUUCUUUGUCCAAUCACAGGACUCCAUGCUGAAGGACAACACACCUCAACAAGUAAAGAGAGAAAGAAAAGAGAAAGAAUCACAGAAGCAGAAUCAGCAGUCAAGUUUAAGUUUAGUCUCUUGAAUUCACUUUUUUACUGAUGACUCUCUUGUUUCUGUUCAGUGCCUGAUGAUGUCAGGUUGGUGGGAGGAGCCAGUCGCUGUGCAGGAACACUGGAGGUGAAACAUCAGGGAGACUGGAGACCAGUGAGUUACUUUCACUGGACCCUGAAGGCAGCAGCUGUUGUCUGUAGAGAGCUGGACUGUGGCUCUGCUGUUUCUGUAGGACAGAGAAAGGAGUCCUCAGACAGACCUGUGUGGUGGAUCAGGUCUGACUGUGUUCAGUCUGGAUCUGCUCUGAGGGAGUGUGUAACAUCAAAUAACUCUUCCUCCAUCCUGUAUCUCACCUGCUCAGAUCCAACAGUUCUUCUCAUCAUAUUGGUCGUCCUGCCGCUGACUCUGCUGUUGGUGACUGCUGCCCUUUGUUUCUACUAUAAGGCUAGAAGGAGAAAGGAGAACAUUGUGCUGGAUCGGAAUACGCAGGGUGUUUGUGCAGCUGAAGGAGGGCCGACUGAAGAGGAAGGAGCUCAGGGAGCAGAGUAGGACCUCCAAGAAUCAUCUCAGCUGCCACACAACCCACCAUCAGCUCAGUCCAGGAUUUUACACUUUUAUACUGAUGUUCCCUUUAAAUCAAUCAAUAAGAUCAAUUAUGUGACAUUUUUCCAUCCCAAGGUCCCAAGACUGUGGGACCCAUCCAUCGUCAACUGCUUAUCCUGCGUAUAGGGUCUUGGGGGGCUGGAGCCAAUCCCAGCUGACAUUGGGUGAAAG
Long non-coding RNA from Micropterus dolomieu (smallmouth bass), 972 nucleotides. RefSeq lists it as uncharacterized. The transcript has 3 exons. The record is from RefSeq and is a predicted model, not a curated record. NCBI's taxonomy places the organism in Eukaryota, Metazoa, Chordata, Actinopteri, Centrarchiformes, Centrarchidae.